AGAGUUUGAUCAUGGCUCAGGACGAACGCUGGCGGCGUGCCUAAUACAUGCAAGUCGAGCGGACUAAUGGGAGCUUGCUCCCGUUAGUUAGCGGCGGACGGGUGAGUAACACGUGGGCAACCUACCUGUAAGACUGGGAUAACUUCGGGAAACCGGAGCUAAUACCGGAUGACAUAAAGGAACUCCUGUUCCUUUAUUGAAAGAUGGCUUUUAGCUAUCACUUAUAGAUGGGCCCGCGGCGCAUUAGCUAGUUGGUGAGGUAACGGCUCACCAAGGCAACGAUGCGUAGCCGACCUGAGAGGGUGAUCGGCCACACUGGGACUGAGACACGGCCCAGACUCCUACGGGAGGCAGCAGUAGGGAAUCUUCCGCAAUGGACGAAAGUCUGACGGAGCAACGCCGCGUGAGUGAUGAAGGCUUUCGGGUCGUAAAGCUCUGUUGUUAGGGAAGAACAAGUGCUAGUUGAAUAAGCUGGCACCUUGACGGUACCUAACCAGAAAGCCACGGCUAACUACGUGCCAGCAGCCGCGGUAAUACGUAGGUGGCAAGCGUUAUCCGGAAUUAUUGGGCGUAAAGCGCGCGCAGGUGGUUUCUUAAGUCUGAUGUGAAAGCCCACGGCUCAACCGUGGAGGGUCAUUGGAAACUGGGAGACUUGAGUGCAGAAGAGGAAAGUGGAAUUCCAUGUGUAGCGGUGAAAUGCGUAGAGAUAUGGAGGAACACCAGUGGCGAAGGCGACUUUCUGGUCUGUAACUGACACUGAGGCGCGAAAGCGUGGAGAGCAAACAGGAUUAGAUACCCUGGUAGU
This 805-nucleotide ribosomal RNA is filed under the name uncultured bacterium. RNAcentral's name for it is "bacterial SSU rRNA". It matches the Rfam family "Bacterial small subunit ribosomal RNA", at positions 8 to 794 of the family's 1533-position model. The record is from RNAcentral.